GACGAACGCUGGCGGCGUGCCUAAUACAUGCAAGUCGAACGCAGUGGGGACGGGUGAGUAACACGUGGGUAACCUCCCAUCAGAGGGGAUAACACUUGGAAACAGGUGCUAAACCGAUACUGAUGGAUGGACCCGCGGUGCAUUAGCUAGUUGGUGAGGUAACGGCUCACCAAGGCCACGAUGCAUAGCCGACCGGAGAGGGUGAUCGGCCACACUGGGACUGAGACACGGCCCAGACUCCUACGGGAGGCAGCAGUAGGGAAUAUUGGGCAAUGGGCGAAAGCCUGACCGAGCAACGCCGCGUGAGUGAAGAAGGUUUUCGGAUCGUAAAACACUGUUGUUAGGGAGGCGGUACCUAAACAGAAAGCCACGGCUAACUACGUGCCAGCAGCCGCGGUAAUAC
This 403-nucleotide ribosomal RNA is filed under the name uncultured bacterium. RNAcentral describes it as "partial 16S ribosomal RNA". It matches the Rfam family "Bacterial small subunit ribosomal RNA", at positions 28 to 526 of the family's 1533-position model. The record is from RNAcentral.